RNAcentral lists this ribosomal RNA (406 nucleotides) under uncultured bacterium. Its description in RNAcentral is "partial 16S ribosomal RNA". It matches the Rfam family "Bacterial small subunit ribosomal RNA", at positions 29 to 526 of the family's 1533-position model. The record is from RNAcentral.
AGUGAACGCUGGCGGUAGGCCUAACACAUGCAAGUCGAACGAGUGGCGGACGGGUGAGGAAUACAUCGGAAUCUACUCUGUCGUGGGGGAUAACGUAGGGAAACUUACGCUAAUACCGCAUACGAUUGAAUGAGCCGAUGGCGGAUUAGUCAGUUGGCGGGGUAAAGGCCCACCAAGGUGACGAUCCGUAGCUGGUCUGAGAGGAUGAUCAGCCAACCGGGAACUGAGACACGGUCCAGACUCCUACGGGAGGCAGCAAUGGGGAAUAUUGGACAAUGGGCGCAGGCCUAAUCCAGCCAUACCGCGUGGGUGAAGGAGGCCUUCGGGUUGUAAAGCCCUUUUGUUGGGAAAGCGGUACCCAGAGAAUAAGCAACGGCUAACUUCGUGCCAGCAGCCGCGGUAAUUC